Hevea brasiliensis (rubber tree) is the source of this 744-nucleotide long non-coding RNA. RefSeq lists it as uncharacterized. The transcript has 2 exons. The record is from RefSeq and is a predicted model, not a curated record. NCBI's taxonomy places the organism in Eukaryota, Viridiplantae, Streptophyta, Magnoliopsida, Malpighiales, Euphorbiaceae.
ACCAAGCUGACAAAGCAAAAUGAAGAAAUGGUGCGGAGAAGCAUAAGUAAAACGGUGCGUGCUGGAAAGAUCUAAGGCAGAGCAAGAGAUGGAUUCCCGCGUUUCUCAACAGAUCUAUCAACUAACAACAGGUUAGUUACAGCUGCAGUUAGUUAGAAACCCUUCCUUGCCUCGAAUUCAGCCUUGUUUCAUUGUUUCUUUUCACCAAGGAUGCGAAAAUAAAGGGGAGAAGAAGGCGGACAGCAACUCUCCCUUGCCAACCAUGACAUCCCCGGCGUCAAUCGGACUUCCUCGCCUCUUACUCACUUCCUCCAGCCGUCGAUAAGCCCUUCUGUAAUCACAAUUGUAGUCGACGGACGGUCAACAGAGAGAAGAAAUUGAAAGUUUUGAAGCCCGAAGCUGUACGCUCUCAAAAUUGUUUCCACAUAAAUGUAAAUGUAACAAUGACACUAAAUCACAAAUACUCUGGGGAAUUUCUAAUAUACCAGUGUCACGUAAAUCAAUCCUCCAUGAACGGGACAAACCUGUCAAAGGAAGCAAUGCCAAACCUUCACAUACACCACGCGCCAAGUCUACCAAAUUUUUCAGUUGAUUGAUGGCGGAUGGUAAUGUUUUCAUUCCACUUGCAUUUAUGCAAAGUAACUCCCGUAAUUCUAAAUCCCCUAUGUUAUCUGGCAAUUCAAUGACAUUCUAUUAUGUACUGCAUAAGCGUGUAAACUGUAAAGAAAUAAAGCAAAAUAUCAA